Molecule: long non-coding RNA, 1592 nt
Filed under: Androctonus crassicauda
Lineage: Eukaryota; Metazoa; Arthropoda; Arachnida; Scorpiones; Buthidae
Source: RNAcentral
CCUACUUUCUGAUAUCAAAUGAAUAUUAGUAUCAGAAUAUAUCUUCCAAUAUAGUACUGUAUUUCAUAUAUACUUUUAAUAAUGAAGACAUUGAAUUUCGAAUGAUGAUCGUGAACUAUUUAUUUGAACUACUAACAGAAUUGAAGUCUCAUUCAGGAAUCAGGAAAAUUUGUAUUGAUUUAUGUUGCACGGAUAUUAGCCUUGAUAUAUUUUCUCUUCAUUUUCAUACUAAAAGUGAACUACAUAUCAUAUAUAGUGCAUACUUACGACUAAUUGCGAUUUAAUAUGUUUAUUGCCGAAUUAUAAUGAUUUAAGUAUAUAUUGGGUCACAUAAAAACAUGGCGUUAACGCAUAAAAGAAGUUUCUUCUUCUACGAACGAAGAUUUAGAGAUUGACAUGAUUAUGAUAUUACAUCAAUUUUGAACUGUAGAUGUGACUCGCCGAUCCUCAAGGUCAAAGUAUCUAACGGUAUCUGAAAGUACAGGUGGUGCUUCAUGUCACAUGAUCAAAGACCAGUCACGCUGGCGUCGUCUUAUAUUUGUAGCUCCGUUUACCUAUACGCAGCUGAGAACUUUGCUAUACAGGUGAUGAAUGUACUCGGACAUGCGGAGAAUAAUGAAACCAAAUUGAAUGAAUGAAAUUAUCAAAAUUGGUUUAGAAUUUUGUUACUUUUCCUAUUUCGAAAUGAAAAGUUUUUCCGGAACGGAUUAAAUUAUGCAAAGUAAAAUAUAAAUGCUUAAUAUUUUCAGCGUUUUUAUUUUUGUAAAAUUACAUCUCACUUUAGCUCUGAAGAAAUUAUAAAAUUAAUUUUAAUAUAGCUGAAAUAAGAUUUAGUGAUUGAUAUCCGGAUUAUCUCGUAAUAUUGGUUAAUUAUAGCGCAAAUAUAUAUCAGUAUUGUAUCUAAAUGAAGGACAUGUUUGAUUUGAAAUGGAGAUUUGAAAGCAUUUUUUCUGUAUUUAGCCGAUUCGAUCAUCAUCAGUUAUUUUAUGUUUGUAGAGUACCGUUUAUUCUUAUACUGUGUUGUAAUGUCAUAGGAGAAACGAUGAUUGCUACAGGGGGAAAAAAAACUUCAUCUGUCUGCCAUCGACCCGUCAGCCAACAGCAAUAGACUAGUUGGCGUGAUAAAGUCCAGACAGACGGCGGAUGUGGUCAGUUAAUGGCCGGAGGGUGGAAUGACCAUGGAAGACAAUAGUUAACACUGUAUUUCGGGAUUCCCGACCACAAAUUUAAUGUGAAGUAUAAGAUGCUGUUAAACGUUUCAUACAUAUUAAUUUUCAUAAUUAUGUAUACAAAUAUAAUUAAAUUUAUAACGGUUUUGAAUUAUUUAUCAAGUUAAGAGUUUAUAAGAGCUGUGCCGAAUUGAUGACUGAAUUCUUCUUGUGUGAAGACUGCAAGAGGAACAUCAGUCAACUUGGUCUAAAUGAUAUCUAAAAGCAAUGGUGCAUGUAUUCUAUUGUCGGAAAUUAUAAUUUUGGAUUAAUUAGCUAUAUAUGUGCUAGAAAUAUGUUGAUGACUGGCUGCAUAAUAACGAAACUUGUAUGCGAGUUAGUAUAAUUAUAUAUUAACUAAGCAUGAAGUUUAUCUAAAUAAAU